GAUGAACGCUGGCGGCGUGCCUAAUACAUGCAAGUCGAGCGAACAGACGAGGAGCUUGCUCCUCUGACGUUAGCGGCGGACGGGUGAGUAACACGUGGAUAACCUACCUAUAAGACUGGGAUAACUUCGGGAAACCGGAGCUAAUACCGGAUAAUAUAUUGAACCGCAUGGUUCAAUAGUGAAAGACGGUUUUGCUGUCACUUAUAGAUGGAUCCGCGCCGCAUUAGCUAGUUGGUAAGGUAACGGCUUACCAAGGCAACGAUGCGUAGCCGACCUGAGAGGGUGAUCGGCCACACUGGAACUGGGACACGGUCCAGACUCCUACGGGAGGCAGCAGUAGGGAAUCUUCCGCAAUGGGCGAAAGCCUGACGGAGCAACGCCGCGUGAGUGAUGAAGGUCUUCGGAUCGUAAAACCCUGUUAUUAGGGAAGAACAAAUGUGUAAGUAACUAUGCACGUCUUGACGGUACCUAAUCAGAAAGCCACGGCUAACUACGUG
Molecule: ribosomal RNA, 497 nt
Filed under: uncultured bacterium
Lineage: Bacteria
Description: partial 16S ribosomal RNA
Rfam family: Bacterial small subunit ribosomal RNA
Source: RNAcentral